UUUUAAUAGCUUAUGGAGAGAGCAUGAUAUUGAAGAUAUCAAGGUAGUUUUUAACUUUAGAAUAU
RNAcentral lists this transfer RNA (65 nucleotides) under Conderis sp. UPOL A00612. Its description in RNAcentral is "tRNA-Phe". RNAcentral also lists the same sequence under 2 other names. The record is from RNAcentral. Lineage: Eukaryota; Metazoa; Arthropoda; Insecta; Coleoptera; Lycidae.